GAUGAACGCUGGCGGCGUGCCUAAUACAUGCAAGUCGAGCGAACAGACGAGGAGCUUGCUCCUCUGACGUUAGCGGCGGACGGGUGAGUAACACGUGGAUAACCUACCUAUAAGACUGGGAUAACUUCGGGAAACCGGAGCUAAUACCGGAUAAUAUAUUGAACCGCAUGGUUCAAUAGUGAAAGACGGUUUUGCUGUCACUUAUAGAUGGAUCCGCGCCGCAUUAGCUAGUUGGUAAGGUAACGGCUUACCAAGGCGACGAUGCGUAGCCGACCUGAGAGGGUGAUCGGCCACACUGGAACUGAGACACGGUCCAGACUCCUACGGGAGGCAGCAGUAGGGAAUCUUCCGCAAUGGGCGAAAGCCUGACGGAGCAACGCCGCGUGAGUGAUGAAGGUCUUCGGAUCGUAAAACUCUGUUAUUAGGGAAGAACAAAUGUGUAAGUAACUAUGCACGUCUUGACGGUACCUAAUCAGAAAGCCACGGCUAACUACGUC
Molecule: ribosomal RNA, 497 nt
Filed under: uncultured bacterium
Lineage: Bacteria
Description: partial 16S ribosomal RNA
Rfam family: Bacterial small subunit ribosomal RNA
Source: RNAcentral